AUUGAACGCUGGCGGAAUGCUUUACACAUGCAAGUCGAACGGCAGCACGGACUUCGGUCUGGUGGCGAGUGGCGCACGGGUGAGUAAUGUAUCGGAACGUGCCCAGUCGUGGGGGAUACCGCAGUGAAAAUUACGCUAAUACAGCAUACGAGAUAUGGAUGAAAGAGGGGGAUAGCAAGACCUCGCGCGAUUGGAGCGGCCGAUAUCAGAUUAGGUAGUUGGUGGGGUAAAGGCCCACCAAGCCAACGAUCUGUAGCGGGUCUGAGAGGACGACCAGCCACACUGGAACUGAGACACGGUCCAGACUCCUACGGGAGGCAGCAGUGGGGAAUUUUGGACAAUGGGCGAAAGCCUGAUCCAGCCAUUCCGCGUGCAGGAUGAAGGCCCUCGGGUUGUAAACUGCUUUUGUACAGAACGAAAAGGUUUCUACUAAUACUAGGAGCUCAUGACGGUACUGUAAGAAUAAGCACCGGCUAACUACGUGCCAGCAGCCGCCGUAA
RNAcentral lists this ribosomal RNA (500 nucleotides) under uncultured bacterium. RNAcentral describes it as "partial 16S ribosomal RNA". It matches the Rfam family "Bacterial small subunit ribosomal RNA", at positions 30 to 523 of the family's 1533-position model. The record is from RNAcentral.